CAGAGGGGGCAAGCGUUGUUCGGAAUUACUGGGCGUAAAGGGCGCGUAGGCGGCCUGCUAAGUCGAACGUGAAAUCCCCCGGGCUCAACCCGGGAACUGCGUCCGAUACUGGCAGGCUUGAAUCCGGGAGAGGGAUGUGGAAUUCCAGGUGUAGCGGUGAAAUGCGUAGAUAUCUGGAGGAACACCGGUGGCGAAGGCGGCAUCCUGGACCGGUAUUGACGCUGAUGCGCGAAAGCCAGGGGAGCAAACGGGAUUAGAUACCCCGGUAGUCCUGGCCCUAAACGAUGAAUGCUUGGUGUGGCGGGUAUCGAUCCCUGCCGUGCCGAAGCUAACGCAUUAAGCAUUCCGCCUGGGGAGUACGGUCGCAAGGCUG
Molecule: ribosomal RNA, 373 nt
Filed under: uncultured organism
Description: bacterial SSU rRNA
Rfam family: Bacterial small subunit ribosomal RNA
Source: RNAcentral